This 428-nucleotide ribosomal RNA is filed under the name Bacillota bacterium. RNAcentral's name for it is "Firmicutes bacterium partial 16S ribosomal RNA". It matches the Rfam family "Bacterial small subunit ribosomal RNA", at positions 355 to 776 of the family's 1533-position model. Lineage: Bacteria; Bacillati; Bacillota. The record is from RNAcentral.
UGGGGAAUCUUGCCCAAUGGGCGAAAGCCUGAGGCAGCGACGCCGCGUGAGGGAAGAAGGCCUUCGGGUUGUAAACCUCUUUCAGGAGGGACGAAGCUACUCGGGUUAAUAGCCCAGAGGGUGACGGUACCUCCAGAAGAAGCCCCGGCUAACUACGUGCCAGCAGCCGCGGUAAUACGUAGGGGGCAAGCGUUGUCCGGAUUUACUGGGCGUAAAGAGCGUGUAGGCGGCCAGACAGGUCUGUUGUGAAAACUGGAGGCUCAACCUCCAGACGUCGACAGAAACCGUCUGGCUAGAGUCCGGAAGAGGAGAGUGGAAUUCCUGGUGUAGCGGUGAAAUGCGCAGAUAUCAGGAAGAACACCGAUGGCGAAGGCAGCUCUCUGGGACGGUACUGACGCUGAGACGCGAAAGCGUGGGGAGCGAACAGG